RNAcentral lists this long non-coding RNA (970 nucleotides) under Pan paniscus (pygmy chimpanzee). RNAcentral describes it as "lncRNA (ENSPPAG00000045091.1)". Lineage: Eukaryota; Metazoa; Chordata; Mammalia; Primates; Hominidae. The record is from RNAcentral.
GGAAUAUUAAGUCUGUCCUGGUCACCUGCAAAGAGCAAUCUUUUCACACUGGAUGAGCUAUUCUAGGCCUAAAAAGUAUUUCCCUGCUUUAAGUCCCUACCCCACAGGAUCUCUGCUCAUGGUUAAAGAAAAGAAGUUGGGGCCGGGUGCAGUGGCUCACCUCUGUAAUCCCAGCAAUUUGGGAGGCUGAGGUGGGCGGAUCACGAGGUCAGGAGAUCGAGAUCAUCCUGGCUAACACGGUGAAACCCUGUCUCUACUAAAAAUACAAAAAAAUUAGCCGGCCGUGGUGGCGGGCGCCUGCAGUCCCAGCUACUCAGGAGGCUGAGGCAGAAGAAUGGCGUGAACCCAGGAGGCGGAGCUUGCACUGAGCCGAGAUUGCGCCACUGCACUCCAGCCUGGGGCACAGAGCGAGACUCCGUCUCAAAAAAAAAAAAGAAAGAAAAAAGAAAAGAAGUUGAAGGAGAUGAACUGAUCUCUGGGAAUAGAGUCUGCCGCCAUCCUUCCUGCAUCGACCAGGGGUGCUCUUCUCAGGGGUCACGAGAAAUACUCACUUUUGCUGAUUCUGGAACCUAACAUCUUUCCGGCCGUGGAAAAAGAAAAAUACCUGAGAAGUUUGUGAUAUGACAAAGCCCAGAGCAUUCAACUAACUGGAGGGCAUCUCCUCACCCCGAUUAGGUUGCUAUUGUUCUCUGAAGCAGCUGACAUUUCUAAAAGAGUUUUUGUUGGAUUAAUUAUCUUCAUACAUUGAGACCUUAUUGUUUAGUUCUGAGGGCUUUUGUUCAAAAGCUUAAACGUAAAUAAAUAAUGUGUCUCCAAUUACUGCACUAGAAUUGAAGAAAUAUCCUGAGGGAAUAGUAAAGUAAACUUAUUCCUGAAUGCUCUCCCUCUCUACCCCCACCCCCUCUUUUUAAGUUAAUCAAAACUGCCAUGAAUAUUAUUUCCUAUUUUGGAAUAAAUUAUUUUUCUAAAG